RNAcentral lists this long non-coding RNA (460 nucleotides) under Manihot esculenta (cassava). Its description in RNAcentral is "long non-coding RNA (MESC_LNC000294)". Lineage: Eukaryota; Viridiplantae; Streptophyta; Magnoliopsida; Malpighiales; Euphorbiaceae. The record is from RNAcentral.
AGCAAAAGAAGGAAUUGCGUAGAGAAAGAGGGUAGACUGGCUCAAGCAAGAGGAAAGACCCCAAUGGGCAAAGACAAGUGAAGCAAGAACGAAAAUGAAUUCUUUGAGCCAGGAAAAGCUGGGUCUAUGGGCCUAGCCACACAAGCGCAUGAACUCGAUCAAAAGAAAUAACUUAAGGAGAGACUGACAGACGGAGAGACUCCAUUUACUACUUUAGGACUGUAGAGCUUGUAACUAGGCAGGAGGUACUAAAGAAAAAAAGCAAAUGCCCCGCCCCGUAAAGACCGGAAAUGGUGCUAGAGAUCUCAAAGAAGAGUACCUCGAUAAUAAAGCCCCUACUACAAAGGCUACGUCAAUUGGACUAGACCCGAAAGAUCAUCCCCCUUCCUACUCCUUUGAAUGAGAAGGCAAUCAAUUUGUUAGCUUUCUCGGCUUAACGACUCUUCGGCUUAAGGAGUUU